This 465-nucleotide ribosomal RNA is filed under the name uncultured bacterium. RNAcentral describes it as "partial 16S ribosomal RNA". It matches the Rfam family "Bacterial small subunit ribosomal RNA", at positions 28 to 507 of the family's 1533-position model. The record is from RNAcentral.
GACGAACGCUGGCGGCGUGCUUAACACAUGCAAGUCGUACGGUAAGGCCCUUUCGGGGGUACACGAGUGGCGAACGGGUGAGUAACACGUGAGUAACCUGCCCACAACUUUGGGAUAACGCUAGUAAACUGGUGCUAAUACUGGAUAUGUGCUCCUGCUGCAUGGUGGGGGUUGGAAAGCUCCGGCGGUUGUGGAUGGACUCGCGGCCUAUCAGCUUGUUGGUGGGGUAGUGGCCUACCAAGGCGGCGACGGGUAGCCGGCCUGAGAGGGUGACCGGCCACAUUGGGACUGAGAUACGGCCCAGACUCCUACGGGAGGCAGCAGUGGGGAAUAUUGCACAAUGGGCGCGAGCCUGAUGCAGCACCGCCGCGUGCGGGAUGACGGCCUUCGGGUUGUAAACCGCUUUCAGCAGGGACGAAGCUUUUUGUGACGGUACCUGCAGAAGAAGCACCGGCUAACUACGUG